UACGGAGGGAGCUAGCGUUGUUCGGAAUUACUGGGCGUAAAGCGCACGUAGGCGGCUAUUCAAGUCGGGGGUGAAAGCCCGGGGUUCAACCCCGGAACUGCCCUCGAAACUAGAUAGCUAGAAUCUUGGAGAGGCGAGUGGAAUUCCGAGUGUAGAGGUGAAAUUCGUAGACAUUCGGAAGAACACCAGUGGCGAAGGCGACUCGCUGGACAAGUAUUGACGCUGAGGUGCGAAAGCGUGGGGAGCAAACAGG
This 253-nucleotide ribosomal RNA is filed under the name uncultured bacterium. Its description in RNAcentral is "partial 16S ribosomal RNA". It matches the Rfam family "Bacterial small subunit ribosomal RNA", at positions 524 to 776 of the family's 1533-position model. The record is from RNAcentral.